Long non-coding RNA from Oncorhynchus tshawytscha (Chinook salmon), 715 nucleotides. The record is from Ensembl. Lineage: Eukaryota; Metazoa; Chordata; Actinopteri; Salmoniformes; Salmonidae.
UGGAGGAUAUAUACAGGGGGUACCGGUACAGAGUCAAUGUGGAGACUAUAUACAGGGGGUACCGGUACAGAGUCAAUGUGGAGACUAUAUACAGGGAGUACCGGUACAGAGUCAAUGUGGAGGAUAUAUACAGGGGGUACUGGUACAGAGUCAAUGUGGAGGAUAUAUACAGGGGGUACCAGUACAGAGUCAAUGUGGAGGCUAUAUACAGGGUAUUACGGUACAGAGUCAAUGUGGAGGCUAUAUACAGGGGGUACCGGUACAGAGUCAAUGUGGAGGAUAUAUACAGGGGGUACCAGUACAGAGUCAAUGUGGAGGAUAUAUACAGGGGGUACCGGUACAGAGUCAAUGUGGAGGCUAUAUACAGGGGUACUGGUACAGAGUCAAUGUGGAGGCUGUAUACAGGGGGUACCGGUACAGAGUCAAUGUGGAGGCUAUAUACAGGGGUACUGGUACAGAGUCAAUGUGGAGGCUAUAUACAGGGGGUACUGGUACAGAGUCAAUGUGGAGGCUAUAUACAGGGGUACUGGUACAGAGUCAAUGUGGAGGAUAUAUACAGGGGGUACCGGUACAGAGUCAAUGUGGAGACUAUAUACAGGGGGUACCGGUACAGAGUCAAUGUGGAGGAUAUAUACAGGAGUACUGGUACAGAGUCAAUGUGGAGGAUCUAUACAGGGUAUUACGGUACAGAGUCAAUGUGGAGACUAUAUACAGG